RNAcentral lists this long non-coding RNA (2402 nucleotides) under Mytilus galloprovincialis (Mediterranean mussel). Lineage: Eukaryota; Metazoa; Mollusca; Bivalvia; Mytilida; Mytilidae. The record is from RNAcentral.
GUUCAUAUCCAGUUGAUAAAUGCAAUUUAAAUUUAGUUUACUUUACUUAUAAGUGAUCAGGAAAAAUAAUAAUGGAUCUUCUACGACGUAUUUUGUACAAUGUUUUUCUGAAUUUAAUAUUCAGUGGUAAGCGUUGAGCAUCUGUUUCUCCCAAAAUUCUAUUUAUUAUCUUGUUUUUGUAAUUAAUAACGAACACACGAAAUGUGCAUAUAUAUAAUAAAAAAAUUAUGUAUAAUACAAUACCAUAUUUCUUUGUGAGCUGUACUUUUUUCAUUGCUCGUUUUUAUAUCAUUUACCUUUAAAAUCUAUAGUUACUCGAGACCUACGAUUGAAAAUUAUCCAGUAUCUACCCCAUAUUCAUGUAAACCAUUAUUUCAGACUUCUUUGAGAGUAGUUCGAUAUAUCUUAACUUCAUAAGUCUUAGUAGAAUAGGAAAUUCCUGAUUUAUCUCAUUUGAAUUAUGUAUAGUUAAUCUUGCUAUGAAGAAUAUUGAACAUAUCAAAUCCGACCUUUCCAAUAUAAUUUCAAAAAGGAGAAAUACAUAACAACUGAUAAAACCAAAUUUUCUAAAUUAACGGAACGAAUUAUAUUCAGACUUGAAACAGUCAUUUUCCCAAAUACAUUUGUAUUGUUUUAGCUACCUAAACUUCCUACUUGCAUGACUGAUGAAAAUACUAAUAAAAUAAUAUGAAGAAUUGAUUGAUUGUUAAUCAAAUUAGAAGAUCUAGUUUUAUUGACAAUGGACAAUUAUCCACUAACUAGGCUGUUUGAUUAACAUACAGUGGCAAAUAAUACAUGCGUAUUGUGAAUGGUAACAAAUUUUACAUAAAAUAUGUGUGUUCUGUUUGUGGGCCAUUUUGAAGGAUGGGAGUUUUUGACUGCCAUCUGUAAACGAAAGCACAUACUUAUCUGAUAUGAAACUUAUCAUUUCAAGACUUUUUUUGUAAAAAUAUGUUUCAAUUAGUUCGGAAGCCAUAUAAACAAGCCUACAAUCUUGACUGUUCUGCCUAUUUUUUUAUUUCUAGAAACGGUGGCAUCAUUGCAUAUCAUAUGGUUUUGUGGUAUGAGAAAAAAUACCAUCACAAAUGUGUACAGACAGAAGACGGACACUCAGUGAAAGCAUUUGCGCACAAUUGCCUAUUUUUACAAUCUUGACCGUUUGAUAUUAAAAUAUUCAAGAUCCAUAACAUAGACAAAUAAAUAUCCAUCAACAUAAAUGUUAGAUAAUGAUAGAAGUAUUUUAUAACACAAAUUCAGGCCACCUUGUAUUACUUGGUUUUAAAAUUCGCCAUCGUAAACAUAAAUGUCGUUAAUAAAUAUAAUAAAAGUUUGAGUUGCAUAUAAGAUGUCUAUCAUAUGCCUAGCUUUAAACCUAAAUUUUUUGAAUGGUAAACAAACCAGUCACGACUUACUGACGAGAUUCAUGUAUCAGAUAUGUGUCGAAUGUAAAAUAAUUGUGUUCUUUUAAGGGCGUGGACCUUAAUAUAAUUUAAUUCAUGUUAAUUUAAUUUAAAAUAUAUAUUUUUUUCAGUUGUGACGGUCCAUGGUGAAUACUGUUAUUACAGUUCUUACUAUACUAAUUAUGAAUGUGAUGGCACAACAACCGGGUGUGUUUAAUUUUCUUUUUCCUUUUUUCUUUUAUUGUACCAUAACAUGCAAAAUUUCGUUUUAAUUCAUGAAUAAACGUUUUGGCUGUUUUGUACACAAGUAAACGGGCGUGGAUAGAAAACAAAAGACACCUGUAGUGUCUGAUCAGUAUAAUUAGAAGAUGUCAACUUCAUAUAAUUCUGUUCUCGUUUGAAUAUGUUGUGUUUAAUAUUUUUUUUCAUGGUGAAACCAAAGCAAUUUUAAGUAUAUAUACUAAUAGUCUCACUAUUUGUGGAAAAUAUUUCAUACAGAUAUUGUCUCUGUGUUUCUUCGCUGAUUUCUAGAAUUUUUCACAUAGUAUUUUAACUGGUCAUUUACGAAAAAAAAAUGUUUGACUAGCGACGGUUUAACGACAUGAGACAAAAGUCACAUGUAUAUUUUAGACGAUAAUAAAAUUAUGUUAAUGAGAAAUGAUAACCUUCUUUGUACUAGACUGACACCCUGGUCGCACAUAAUAGUGCAUCUGGAUAAGUAUGGUUUGUUUAUAUUUAUGAUCCACGUACAUAAUUUGAAUAUUAAUUGAUACUUAAUACUAACUCUUUCAGUGGUGCCAUAGCCGGUGCGAUAGUAGGAAUUAUCAUUUUUAUAGUUGUCAUAGUUGUUAUAAUUGUCAUUUGUAAAAAGCAUACAACUAGGACGACAAGUAUUCAUACCACUUCACACACUGGUGGAACUACAGUUAUCACACAACAGCAGCAACAACAAGGUAAUCUACAUAACAGAUUUUUUAUAUUAUAAAACGAAUGGUUGAUUUC